ACGCUGGCGGCGUGCCUAAUACAUGCAAGUAGAACGCUGAAGAGAGGAGCUUGCUCUUCUUGGAUGAGUUGCGAACGGGUGAGUAACGCGUAGGUAACCUGCCUUGUAGCGGGGGAUAACUAUUGGAAACGAUAGCUAAUACCGCAUAACAAUAGGUGACACAUGUCAUUUAUUUGAAAGGGGCAAUUGCUCCACUACAAGAUGGACCUGCGUUGUAUUAGCUAGUAGGUGAGGUAACGGCUCACCUAGGCGACGAUACAUAGCCGACCUGAGAGGGUGAUCGGCCACACUGGGACUGAGACACGGCCCAGACUCCUACGGGAGGCAGCAGUAGGGAAUCUUCGGCAAUGGGGGCAACCCUGACCGAGCAACGCCGCGUGAGUGAAGAAGGUUUUCGGAUCGUAAAGCUCUGUUGUAAGUCAAGAACGAGUGUGAGAGUGGAAAGUUCACACUGUGACGGUAGCUUACCAGAAAGGGACGGCUAACUACGUGCCAGCAGCCGCGGUAAUACGUAGGUCCCGAGCGUUGUCCGGAUUUAUUGGGCGUAAAGCAAGCGCAGGCGGUUUGAUAAGUCUGAAGUUAAAGGCUGUGGCUCAACCAUAGUUCGCUUUGGAAACUGUCAAACUUGAGUGCAGAAGGGGAGAGUGGAAUUCCAUGUGUAGCGGUGAAAUGCGUAGAUAUAUGGAGGAACACCGGUGGCGAAAGCGGCUCUCUGGUCUGUAACUGACGCUGAGGCUCGAAAGCGUGGGGAGCGAACAGGAUUAGAUACCCUGGUAGUCCACGCCGUAAACGAUGAGUGCUAGGUGUUGGAUCCUUUCCGGGAUUCAGUGCCGCAGCUAACGCAUUAAGCACUCCGCCUGGGGAGUACGACCGCAAGGUUGAAACUCAAAGGAAUUGACGGGGGCCCGCA
This 910-nucleotide ribosomal RNA is filed under the name uncultured bacterium. RNAcentral's name for it is "bacterial SSU rRNA". It matches the Rfam family "Bacterial small subunit ribosomal RNA", at positions 33 to 925 of the family's 1533-position model. The record is from RNAcentral.